UUAUAAGUGUUGAAGGAGAAGAGUAUAUAGAUAAUUAACUUAAAGAGAUCUAGGGAUGGUGGAAGCCUAGAAGUUAGUGCUAUAGAAGGAAGCUCUGGAGCUAGGGACUGAAAACUAAUUUGUAGAGUAAGUCUUUGGGAUUCUCCCCUUAAAGAGAAAUUAAGAGGGUUAAAGGUAGUAUAUCUUUAAUCAAUUUAGGUGGUAACGCGGAAGUAGCCUUUCGUCCUAAUU
RNAcentral lists this non-coding RNA (231 nucleotides) under Clostridium collagenovorans. RNAcentral describes it as "T-box sequence". It matches the Rfam family "T-box leader". From Rfam's summary of the family: Uncharged tRNA acts as the effector for transcription antitermination of genes in the T-box leader family. T-boxes are found upstream of many aminoacyl-tRNA synthetase genes and some amino acid biosynthetic genes usually in Gram-positive bacteria. The record is from RNAcentral. Lineage: Bacteria; Bacillati; Bacillota; Clostridia; Eubacteriales; Clostridiaceae.